Molecule: transfer RNA, 71 nt
Filed under: Cordylochernes scorpioides
Lineage: Eukaryota; Metazoa; Arthropoda; Arachnida; Pseudoscorpiones; Chernetidae
Description: tRNA-Thr
Source: RNAcentral
UCCAGGGUAGCUUAGUGGGCAUGGCAUCUGCCGUGUAAGCGGAACACUGGGUUCGUUUCCUAUCCCUGGAC